This 472-nucleotide ribosomal RNA is filed under the name uncultured bacterium. Its description in RNAcentral is "partial 16S ribosomal RNA". It matches the Rfam family "Bacterial small subunit ribosomal RNA", at positions 30 to 507 of the family's 1533-position model. The record is from RNAcentral.
AGUGAACGCUGGCGGUAGGCCUAACACAUGCAAGUCGAACGGCAGCACAGUAAGAGCUUGCUCUUACGGGUGGCGAGUGGCGGACGGGUGAGGAAUACAUCGGAAUCUACUUUUUCGUGGGGGAUAACGUAGGGAAACUUACGCUAAUACCGCAUACGACCUACGGGUGAAAGCAGGGGAUCUUCGGACCUUGCGCGAUUGAAUGAGCCGAUGUCGGAUUAGCUAGUUGGCGGGGUAAAGGCCCACCAAGGCGACGAUCCGUAGCUGGUCUGAGAGGAUGAGGGGACACAGUGGGAAUGAGAUACGGCCCAGACUACGAGGGGAGGGAGCAGUGGGGGAUAGUGCACUAUGGGAGGAAGCAUGAGGAAGCAACGCCGCGGGCGGGAUGACGGCCGUCGGGAUGUAAAACGCCACCGCCUGUGACGACGCGUGAGGGACGGGAAUGGGUAAAGAAGCACAGGCUAAUGAGGUG